This is a long non-coding RNA of Coffea arabica (coffee), 1050 nucleotides long. RefSeq lists it as uncharacterized. NCBI's taxonomy places the organism in Eukaryota, Viridiplantae, Streptophyta, Magnoliopsida, Gentianales, Rubiaceae. The record is from RefSeq and is a predicted model, not a curated record.
GGGGGGCAACUGCCCCCCUCCAAUUGUUAAAAAAAAUUUCUAAGUAAAAAAAUUUUUAUUAUUAUGUUUUGCCCUCCCAAAAAUUGAUAAAAAAAUUCACUUUGCCCCCCCAAGGGCCCAAACAAUAAUGUUUGAAAGUUAUUUGGACUUGGUCCAAAUAACAGAGAAUUGCCACUUUUCUUAACGGACUUCAUACAAGUGCAAAGAAAAGAUAGCCAGUUAACCUGGCAAUUGACUCUGCUACAGUUCUUCUUCCUAGAAGGUAGAAACGUCAAAAUCUUCUCACCUUGUUCCGCAGAGAUGUAUCAAAUCUGCUCAAACGAUACAUCAUUAAUUACUGGAAUUGAUCCUUGUGAGCUCACAAAGUUAUGACUUCUCAUCAAGUAGAGACCAUUAAAGGCUUGAAGAACUUUCUCCUGUGAAGACCUACCCCCGCACAUGGCUAAGGAUUGUACCAUUGCAUUUUGCAUGGUCUAGGUUGUUGUUUUGUUGCAAAUAUAGUGGUAAUGGCCAACAGGACAAUUGAUUCUUUUUUCAAGAAAAGACGUCUAGAACCAAGUGGAAGUGGUGAAACUCCUUGUCCUCUUUGUGAUUCUUCUCCUAAGCAUCAAACAAAGAAAUUUUGUAGAGCUGAAUCAUUAGAGGUUGAUAUUUCAUCCAUAGAACGUGAUCCUGGAAAGCGAAAAUCCAUUUGGGAAUAUCUAGAGCUUCAAAGGGAUGAGGUACGGAGAGCAUAUAUUAAGUUUGGGCCAUACCAACCUGAGCUUCCGAUUGAAUCAAUGGUUGUUGACAAGAAGGGCUGACGUUUCCUUUUCUCUUAGUAUAAAUUGUUUCCAGAUUGGUUGGAAUUUUCUCCAACAAAGAAUGUUGCCUUUUGUCUUCCUUGGUCACUUUUUUCCAAGCCAACGGACCGUUUUGGAUCAAUGGCCUUCACAACUAGUGGAUUUAGAUCAUAUGUCCCACACAGUCAAAUAGAUUUGUAAAUAUGAUGAUAUUUUUGUAUCUGUGAAACGUAUAAGUAAUUUUUAUUUUAUAUAAAGUUGUUUCUAA